Long non-coding RNA from Osmia bicornis bicornis, 11177 nucleotides. RefSeq lists it as uncharacterized. The record is from RefSeq and is a predicted model, not a curated record. The transcript is spliced from 4 exons. NCBI's taxonomy places the organism in Eukaryota, Metazoa, Arthropoda, Insecta, Hymenoptera, Megachilidae.
CCAGAGCUGAACCCAUGGCAAGUCAUAUAACGAGUCGAGCCGCGAACGAAAAGGAGUCGACCGCUGUCGAGAAAAAAAAGAAUUCUUCAACGCGAGAGCAAACACAAUUAGAGGCAGCCCUUCCGGCUCUGCCUGUUCUUCUCCCCUCGCGUUGGCCCGGUCCGAGUGUUUUACGUUUCGUAAGAAAAAGAAGAAGAAGAUGCUUCGAGGUGCUCGAAGCUGUUCCUUUUCGUUCGAGUGGCAACGGUAGGAAGAGACAAAAGGAGGAGACGAACGCGAAGAGGACUCAAUCCUGCGCGGUGCGGCAAGCCGAGCUGGUAUAUAACCGACGAGGAAGGAGACGGUAAUAGCCAAUCACGCGGCGAACGCAAAAACCUCGACGAGGAGCGUCGUAAAGCUCGGUGAUGCUCUCUUCGUUUCAUCCUCGUUCCACCUGACGACGUCCGAGCCGGGAUGCAGAAGGAACGAACCGUUCGGGAGGGUUGCCCGCGAGAGGAUGCGUUCUCCCUCCGUUUCUCGUCGCCCGCUAGAGAUAUUAAUUAGAAUAAUUGCCGCUAACAGGCUCGUUAGCGUUGAACCGAGAUAGCAAACGAGCGCGCCUCGCACGCGAAAAUAAAAUGAGACGGCUCCCCGGGCGAAAGACCAACCUGCCAGGCGAGAUGAAAGAGGACGAGAGCACCAGCCGGCUCGCUUCUCCGCUGCUUACGGCAGAAGUACCUCAAUCAGGCUCGAGCUGCGUCAUUUGCAUAUUUCUUCGGGCUCGAUAUUCUUCCCCUUCGUUCCAUAGGAGAAAGUCAAAAGGGUGCUGAAUUAAUCCAGAAGUGUCGAUUGGAACUAAUUUAACCCCUUGGGACUCAGAUGUUCUUCAAAGAUGAAAUUUAAAACGUAGUACUUUUGCGACGACUCGAGCUAAUAGGGUGCCGUCCGCGCACCCUCGUGCUCCUCCGCGACGGGUACGUAGCCAACGACCUCCGUAUCGGUACGCUGUUCGCCGUCUGGUAGGAUUUUUUCUCGGAUACAAGGGAGAAGCAGAAAGAGAAUCGUUGGUUGGCCAGUCAGCAAUUCCGUCUUUAUUCCGCGAACGAGACCGGGGCCCUCCUAAUCAAUUCCAAUUAGAGAGCGGAAUAUUUGCGGGCCAAGCUGAGCGGAGCCCAUGGAAGGGACUAUUAGCAGUCUCUCUUACUACCGAGAGUCCCGAGCUGACUCUCGUUGGCCGUAAAUCAAGCACCGGCCCAUACAGAAUCCGCUUCACGGACAGACACGGAGAGACACGAGAUUCUGGUGUGCCGUUCGUACGUGUGGGUGUAACGUGGAUAACCAUGUGUCUGUGUAUCUCCGAGCGAGGGAUGGAGAGAGGUAGUGGAUAGGGUGGAAGAAGGAUGAAGAGGGUAAGUAGAAGGGAUCGAGCCGGUAGCUCGAGGAUCGUUGACUAACGAAGUGAACAUAACUCGGCCGAUACAACUCAAUACGCGAUCCACGGUGACAGUCGGUAAAACAGAGUAUUUCUAAUUGGCUGGACGGGACGCAUGCUGAUUAGGCUUUUCUUUUACCCUCGUUGUGGGAUCCACGGUGCAACGGCGGUGCCCGUGGUGGCCUGGCCAAAGAAACACGCUGAUUGGACACGUGGGGCAUGCCAUCGUUACACGCACCAAGCCUGCUACGGACUGCUUUCCUUCGCGCUGACCUGCACUACCUUCCUCUAUCCCCUUCCCUCUUCUCCCUCAACUAUCGGCGAUCGGUCCCGAUGUUAAUAUCGUAAUUAGCCGGGCUCCGCGGCGGGUAACGAUGACCGGAAAAGGCGAGUUUCCUUGGGAAACGAUUUCCGCGCUUAGAUAAAGGGGGAUACCGGUACAUGGACAGGUUGCCGAUUACACGGAGCGACUCGAUAAAAUGUAAUGUUAACGGCAAAGUGUUCGACGCAACGUGUAUGUUUCGUUGUUUUACGAAAAUGGAGAUUUCGAGGGGCUCGUUUCGAUCGAGAAUCGGCAAUCGAUCGUGGUGCUCGGAAACGGACCGGUCCAGAAUGGUCCUCGGGUUUUGCGCUCUGGUACAAUGGUCGUUAUUCAAAUUCCCCUCGGCUCGUUCGAUUUUUAUUCGGCUGCGCGGAGUUUACUUCGUGAGAAGGGGUCUCUCCUCGCCACGGUAGAUCGUGGAUCGAGAUUUCGAGGGAAUCCGACGACGCGGAUCCCACCACGUGGCCGGGUAAGCCUUAGGUCCGCGGCGAAUUUAAAAUUCUAAUCUUAUGAUUUGUGGCGGUCGACCGCUACUUCUGACAGCGACUGUACCAGCUACGACUCUAUUAGCCAAGACUUUUGCCCAAAGCCGCCUCUUGGAGAUCUUUCGAACGCGUAUUUUCAAAAAUGAAAAUUAUAAAAUACCAUACUAAUCUUAUCACCUCCCUCCAAUAUCAUACAGGAAUAAUUAAAAUGCUUCCUAUAGAAAUAUUCUGAGGUCCAAUAAAUAUAAUCCCGGGGCUUCAUUUUAUCUGCAAGGCAAAAGAAAGAAACAUCAAUUAGAACGGUGAUCCAGCUCGAUCGAUGAUUAAUCAAAGACAAUGUCGUCUCUGUUCCCCUGUCCGAUUGUCAACCCAUCCUCAGGAUAUUUCAUUGGAACAACGGGGACUGUAUUCAGCAUCGUCCACGCAUUGCGUGGAGCGAGCAACUGAAGACGUUCUCGGCCAAUUUAAAUACAUAUUGUUAGAGCCGGUUUAAUUAAGCCUACUUAAUUUUCUCUUCCGAAGGGCCCGCGCCAAUGCUGCUCGUAAUUAGUACGGACGCGCAUGCCGGCUCUCUUGGCCUCGUCUCGGUUCGCCUUUUGUUUUCUCUCUUAUUAGCCGCAUUAACCCCACCUGUAUCCUCGUGUUCACCAUCGUAUUCUUCUUCUUCGGGUCUUCUUCUCCACGCUAUUCGUUGUCCCGGCUAUGAAGAGCAUCGAGAACUCAUCGAGUCAUUCUUAACCCUUCUACCCUCGUCUGCUUAUUUUUAUUAAAUAUUUUCGCACACCUUCAUUUAUUCGAAAGAAUUCUUCACGAUAGUUGAAUGAUUUUAAUAGAUAUUAAGGGUAGGAAAGAGUAAAUCAUUUUCUUUGUCAUUUCAAUUAAUUUUAUUCAACUUCCUCUGGUAUUUGUUACAUUAGCCAGGAGGUUGUUACAAUUUACGUUCAGCCGGAUUUGUAAUUCAACGUGAGAAGAAGAGAUCUAGCUUUCGAGUGUCGUUUAAGCGGCCGAGCAACGGAUACGCGCAUAAAUACUCUUCGUAGCUCGAGCGUAGGUCGUUUUUCAAUUUCUCUCUUUCGUUCCGGUUAUUGGGAGCCCCGCGUUCGCGAGUCGGCACGGUACAAAGCGUGAAAUCGGCUUACCGUUAAGAGGAAUAAUUAACGACCGUUCGAGGACCUCUUCCAGUGACACUCUCGGUCCGCGUACUUUGGUUCCCUCGAUCCUCGAGUGGAAACGGAAAAACUGGAUCGACGUUUUGCUUGGAGUGGUUGUUCCCGGUGAUUUUUCACCGAUUUAUCACCGCUCUUCAGCACCGGAAACGUUUCACACUUGCUGUAAAUCAGUGCCAAGUACGUGCUCAAAGUAGAUUAGAAAAUUUAAGAUUCUCGAGUAGUAUUCUCGAACACCUUGGAAUAAUAUUUAACGAUCGUUUUCUCACCAAAAAUCCCGUCGUUUUCUAAAUUCCCCUCGAAAGCACAGUAUUUUCCAUCGUGCGAAAGGCAAACAUUGGGCAGGAUUUUUACGACUCCCAAUGAACGACGUAAGAGGACCGGUCGGUUGUAUCGAAAUCCGACGUUUUAAUCGUGUUUACCGGGGCUUUAACUGCGGAUUAACUUCUGCAGCCACUUUAGAUCCCCCGCGGUGGGAAAUGCGAUUCAUGGUGGGCCGAUUCUUUCAACCCCUCGACUAGGGGUGAGCAUAUGCCACGAGACACGAGGAUAAUAACGAUGCCAUAGAAAAAUUACGAUACCGAUGUAACACGACGAUGACGACUACGAGCGAGGAGUCAAGCUCAUCGGAGGGGGUGGACGAAGGGUGAGAAGGGAGAAACCCGCACUCGAAAAGGCCACCAAUUGACUCCUAUUGUUGGGCGAACGAUAGGCGCGGUAUUUUUGGCAGGACCGGCGUCGACUCGGCUUUUGUUUGCCUCGCGAUUUGACAGGCCUGAUACGCGUGCGACGACGUUGAAAUUUCAUCGCGAAAUCGGAGGUGUCGACGCGAUCAAUGGAACGCCUCGAGGAAUCCUCGUGGUCGUUAAAAGGAUAUAUCAAUACUUUGAUCGGUUAUUUCUUAUUCAAUUAUUCUUAAGAGAUAUCGAAAUGAAAUUAUCUUGUCCUUAUCCAGAAACGUAUAGAACGUGUAUAAAUUCUUAAAGAAUAUUUCUCCCCAGAGGAUCAUUUAGAAUCCCUCCGUUGAUGAGCGUUAUUCAAACGAAUCCCCUAUCGAUUAACCACGUCUCAUUAUCAUAUAAUAUCAGCCAAUAUUCUAGCACCCCUGUUCAACGCCGAGGUCCCUUCCCCACUGUCCAUAGAAAUUAAUAAUCGGACCGACAGACACGAGAUAUAGGUGUACAGUAACGGACACGCAUAUUACGCGUGUCAGGUUAAUACGCGUGCGGCUGUUGCUCGCACACGCGUGUACACGCGUAACACACACGGGGUGGCAAUAAAUUCAUGACUUAACCUCCGCCCGUAUGCAAAUCGGGGGAAUGUUAUUACAGGCUGAGAUUACACGCGACGAUUUCGUUGUAUACGUUUCCCACCGGCGGCCAUGGUAAUAGAAUAAUCGUUCGAUCGUUUUUCGAGGGUGGUUACCCGAGGGGUAGUUCCAGGGGCUUAUUAAAAAGCCGGCAGAGAAAUUUCGUUCCUUUCGAAAAAUCAUAUCCCUGUUACGCGUUUACCGGCCCCAAUAAUCGUUCGGCCAUGGAGGGUUGGCUUUAUUAGUUUAUUUAUCGUCGUGUUACCGGCUCGAAGAUUUAGCCGGGAUUUUUAUUAGCCAAGGGAUGUUAAGCUUCACGGGAAUCCGGCGGGAUACGCGAGGCUCAUAAAGAUUAAUAGAUCACCGAGUCUGCCAAAUAAUCAAGAUAGUUCGUGGAUCCUUUUUGAAACGUGCACUUUUCGAAGGGUUGAAGAAUCUAGCCACUUGCAUUUUCAUUAAAGACAGAUUUAUUUUACGGUAGAAAUUAUUAAAUGUAUCAAAAAUUAAUUUGUUACAAUAUUGAUUAUCGUAGCAGUAGAAUCAGGUAGAAAAGAAAGGAUUAACAGGAAGGCCAAUUAUCUCGAAUGUAUUCCGUAAAAUUUCCAUGGGCAUGGGACGAUCCAGCUAGCUUAUUGGAUCUGGAAUCAAGAUGUCCAAUCAAGAUCGAAAAUUCAUGGUUCUCGGAAGAGCGCGUAGACAAGGAUUUUAACUGGCGACGUGGUCCCCUCCUCCCUUUUCUUUCUCGUUCAGAAAAUUCAUGCUGUCCGCGUUGAAACGAAAAAGAAGGGGCGCAUCGGGGGCGCAGGCGGAACCAAUUUUUCGCAUUAAAAUUCCCCGAGUCAGGGAAAGAGCUGUGCGUACGAGAAUGAGCAGGGAUGGGCCAACGGAGGCCCUUAUACAGGUAGGCUUAACAAGGUCCAAUACUUUUCCCUCGCGGCGUCCAAUGGCAAUAUAUUAGAGUCCGAAGCGCGGGGGGCCUUGGCAUUGUUGCCGCCUGUCUUCUCCGCGUCCCUGGCUAACUUUUGUCCCGAUCUUCGAUAUAUGCGGAAGGUUCUGUAACGUAUCGAGUCCUCCUUCAGCUCCCUUCCUCUUCUCCGUAUGCAUCGAUGCAAAAGAUCGCAAAGAUGACCCUUUCGAGGCUCCUUGUCGAAUCGACAUGAAAACGGGACCAGAGAAUCGUCGAUGGAAAUUUUUUCUCGUUUCUUAAAAGAACAAUUAAUGUUUUUUUUCUACGCAAAAUGUGGUUAGAAAAUUGAAAAUAAAUUAUUGAAAUCGUAUUAGCUCGUUAACGUUUCAGGCGGCGAGAAAGAAUUUACGGGUCGGUGAGCUUAAUGAAGUAAUAGGGCCAGUAAUCUGCGAUCGGCUCCCAUUAUCGACACGAACGGCAGCCGCGUAGACCAGAGAUCUCGUAUCUCGCGCCGAUGCAAAUUCGGCGAAUUUUACGGAUGCCCGGCGCACUAAAGAUCAGCGCGGACCAGCGGGACGGGCCGAGUGGUUAAUUGCGCAAAACGUCCAAAACGCGAGUGGUCCAGGCUGGAAAGAGGAUUUGGAAGAGGAACGAAGAAAGUUGUUAACGAAGUUGAAAAGAGAAUACAAUUAGCGAGGGAAUCGUAGCAGGAAAGAAAGGUAGAAAAUUAUAUAUACAUUCCAGGUUGAGAAUCUUUAUUGUAAACGGUAUGAAUUUUUCAAAGAAACAUACGUAUUAUAAUCAGGUUAUGGUUAAAAUAUACGCGCAUUCUUGCUGAAUCGUCACGCCUCUUCAAGCAUACUCUUCAAUUAGUUCGGGAUCAUCUUCUCACGGAAUAAACAUAUCAUUACUUAAUGCGAGAAAAAGGAGAGGAGGGAAAAAAGCAGAGGGCAGGGAGAAAAAGGAACGAGAGGAGGCGACGGGGAAUAAGAUCGAGCGUAAUGAAACUCGCGCGCUCGCAAAAGAAACAGACGGGUCGCGGUAGUGGUAUCAUUCGUCAAGUCUUAAUUUCUCAAUGAAUCAGGCCCGUCUAAUUAAGGAGCUUCGGCUGAGUCGAGCAUGGAUGGGCAUUAGCAUCCAGCGGGUCUGUAAUUUGUGCCUCUCUUAAUUAAAUCAUCCGUUAGCCAAACGGGGCCCCUCUCUCGGCCCUCGACGCGUUCUUCUUGUCUCUCUUUCUUUACUGCUCCUCCUUCUUUUUGCCCUCUUUUUAUGCCAGUGCUCCGUUCGCGAGAGUUGGGUCCUGCUGGAUCCGAAACGUACCUACGUUUUCGGCCCCACCUUUGUUUUUCGCGGUUCCACUCCCUCUCCCUGGAUCCAACAGGUCUUCUUUCUCCCUUCUUUCUUUUUCUGCGAAACCCUUUUUUUCGGGAGAAUGCAAACAAAUUUUAUGGACAGCGACGUGGGACCGAGAACGUCGCGUCGUCUUCUAGUUUCAGAUUGCUUUCUCCUUCGAUUUUUAAUUCCACUUUCAUCUUUCACCCUUUAUUACUUUAUUUAAUUUUAUUGUACAUUUUACACGGGAAAUCAUUGUUCGAAAAGAAAAUGUGCACCGAAAUUGUCGGAGAAACGAUCGGAUCGUUAAUUUUGUUGCUCGCUGUAAUUGCAUGUAAAAAUGUAGAUGUAUUUGCCAGCGGCCCGGUGAUACAACGCGACACGCUAUCUUGAUGCAAUAUUUUCUUUUUUGCCACCACAGCGACGGUAAUAAACGCGGAAUUAUGUAUUCGAUUAAUUUAUUUUUAAAUAGCCCGCGUAAUAUCACGCUCGCCGCGUUUUCAUUAACAACGGCGUCGCCGUAAAUUACCACUCAAUUCCAGCAUCGUAGGGGAAGCGCUAACGAUAUUUUUCUUGCUUCUUUUUUUCCUCGAGCGUUCCAACGCGGCUGCCGCUGCAAUUCAUUAAAAGAAUAAAAGAGCAACGCGAAAACCGUGCUAAUUACAAAAAAAAAAGGAACGAUCGCACCCCUUGCGCGCAUCGGACACGAGGAAAAAAUGCGGCUAGGCGUUAUUUGCAAGAAACUCGCAGCUGAUUUUAUCCACUUUCACGAAAUAUUUGCAACACAAAAUAUUUUAUCUUAUCGCUCGAAUUACCAAGAUCUUAUUUAACGCCUGACAAGCAUCAUUAAUUAUAAUUAAACAUUCUUUUCGUUCACGCAUCCUCUAUUUAACGACUAAUUUUAGUAUUCUUCCAUCUAACUUUGUUAUCAUUUCUGCAUUAACACCGUGUUUAUUUAAAGCCAGAUAGAAACGGGGAAAAGAUAAAUGUGCAAAGAUCAGUCAAAACGAAAAUAGAAGAAAAUGACAAAACGAAAAUAAAUUACACGAGCAGCUAAGUGUUAAUGGUUCGAGUGAUUAUGCAAGCGCUAUACGCCAAUCAGAGUCGUCGAUGUAGCCGUUCGGAGUAGCUGUGUAACUCGUAGCUCGACAAAGAGAGUAGAGAGAAAGAAAGGGAGUCACGAGUAGUGGACCGUAGCAGUCACCGGUGGCGAGUGCGUUAAUUAGCGGGAUGCUCACGCGAGCCGGCAAUUAAAACAACAUCUUCAUUAUUAGGUGUAUAUAGAAAGGGCCCCGAUGGGCCAGCUCCCGUACACCAGACGUUUGCAGUAGCCGCUAUUCUAUAAACGGAAUAACUUGGUAAACAGAGACUGCUACCAGCUCAUUACCGUCGCGUUAUCACAGCUACCAACUUUCAGCCACUUAACUUGCCUUCAAUCUAGUAAGAAUUUACUUGCCGUGAUAAAGCGUUUCUAUUUACCCUGUCGCGUGAACGUACCACGGGGCCAAGUAAUUACAGGCUGUCUCAAAAUAGGUACCAUUACCCUUUUGUCAAUUAAUUAGAGUGUCGUGUCUAGGUGUAAUGUGCGACUGGUAAUUUUCCCUCUAUAUUGAUUUUUUCCCUAGAGAAACCUAGGUCGGCGAAACUACCCCUUUUAAAGGGUAGAAUCAUACGGUUUUUUAUGUUUGCCUUAUCCUAUCCUACUUUAAACUCUGUUUAAAUUUAAUUUGUGAUAAACUUAUUAAUUUUUAAAUAUCUGAAAAUAUAUCACCUCACCUAUUACAGACUUACUUAAAAUUCUUUCAACAUCCAGAAAACGGAUACGCCUCCUUUAUCGAUACGGUGUGAUCAUUGAAAAAUUACAGAUCUCUCGUGUCUUUUUUCAGACACGUCGGCAUAAUUAACUGAUAAAGGAGGUUCAUAUUAGCGUGCCAGCCCGGCAAGUAAUUACUAUACGUUAUUUAGACCGGGCGUGUAUUAAAAUCGCCAAUUUGCGAGCGAAAUCGUUCGAUAAAGAUGUUGUACUUUCAGAGCGGUCGCGUUAUCGAUUCGAUUGCUACGUGUUUUCCGAUCGAGCCAGAUACACAGAAGGGUCCUACCCGAUCCCUCGAACGUUCCUGGGUGCGUCGCAUAUUUAUUCAAUUCGUCGCGACGCACCUGCCCCGCUUAUCUUCCGGUUAAAGUGUUUCUCGUUACCUUGCGAAGCAGACAAACCUGCUUCGCAACGCAUCAUCGUCUCCGCUCGACUAUUCAACAAAUGACACUGACCGUGAGCUUCGUCGACUAUUCUUAAACCUGUGUUGGAAUUUUCUUAAAAUUAUAAACAGCUAGAUUUCACGGCUAACAGUUACGAUGUCGACGCCCGUUAGUUGCACCUGGUACAUACCGGUUUGUUAAAUACCGGCAGCAAGGUGCAAAUAUCUUUAAAAAGGCGCUCUGUUUCGAAGGAACUAGUUUCAGAAAGAAUCCAAGACGCUCUUUUACAUUCGUACCAAGUCUAAAAAGGCUCAUUCAACUUUGGUCUCUCAGCUAAGACAACAAUUUACAAUUUCCUGACUGUAAAUCCGGCGAAAUUGUUUAAAAGGAAGCGUAAGUGCGAGUUAACGACGCGAACGUCGUUUCCGCCUCCCCUCUCUUGUUUUAUUAUUUAAUUUCAGCUGGGUACGCGUUAUGAGACAUGAAAAAAGUCUUGGCGAUAUUGUAGUAGGUGGAUUUGCUAGCGAGAGAACACGCCCCCGCUAGCCUCGGGCAGGGGACGCGCGGCGUCGCGCACGGUGACAUUAUUAUUCGUUAUGAACGGGUUUACGAGGCCGCAAAUCAUAGCCGUGUUCAUAUUUCGAACGGCAGCACUCCUCGUUAUUCAGUUUAAUGGCGGCGCUAUUUGAAUUCCCGAUCCUCCCUCCUGCUCGACCGCCCCCGCUUUUCUACCACCACGUUUCGCCCCCCGUUUCGUCAUCCGCGCUUUACAAUGUUACGCGAUAAAGAAUGCCCGAGGCUGCGCAAUGCGGACAUUUUCGAGUCACCCCUUUCCAUCCGUUAUUUCUACGAUUUCUUAGAUCUCGAUAGAUCUCUAGAUCUAUCUAGACGUCUAUAGAUCUUUAUCCUUCUUUCAAAGUUCUUUUUGAAUCUUCUUUCUCCUAUUCCCCAUGCUUUAAAAAUGACGGGAAUUAUCUGAGACGUAAAACAAAAGCUUCCCUUAAAAUGUUUCGCGAAUUUUCACCUACUUUUCCAUCUCCUACUUCAGGAGAUCGUAUUACUAGGGUUGUUAUAAGGGGGUAGCGGUUUCUUUGGGGAAGGAUCUUGUCCUCUGUUUCGCUAGUGGCAAAGGUGCCGACGACGCCUCUUAAGUAGCUUUGCGAGCAGCGUCUUUCGAAAAUGUUUGCUCAACGUCGUGGCUUGUUUCUGCACCUGGAAAAGGGUUGACGCGACGCAGCCCACCCUGUCGUCGCCUGUUUCCCCUCGCCUCAGAAUAGCGACCAGUAUAUCAGCCUUUAUUUUCUUUUCAAACAUUUCGUACUUGGCAUGUUGAUUUGUACGGUUGAAAUCAAGUCGAUUUUUAUCGAUCUUUCAUGGAUCUACGUAAAGCGAACGAGGCGUUUCGCAGUAAAUUGGGAACGCGCGUGUCGAGGCGCGAAAAUUAAAGACCAUAAAUCAUACGCUCGUUCCGCGUCGGUGGCCCAUGAAUAUUAAUGGAAAUCAUUGCGCCGUUUACAGGCCUAUUAAUCCGGGGUUAAAGUAUUCCGUCUUCGGUGGUGUUUUAUCGGCCGGCGAAGGGUUUGUCCGCCGAGCGUUAUUAAUCCUAUCAAUCAUUCAGCCCAUGGGUUAAUUCUCUUUCUCUCCGCCCUUUGGCACUUCUUUUCAGAACGGCAACUUCGUACACGAGCUGGAUACAUUAAUCGUCGAUAGAAGAUCGAUUACAGGACACGUGACGAACAGCGACCAGCUAUGUUUCUACUACAGGGUAGAAGACGAGACACAGGAAAAGGAACAUCCCUUUAACGCAAACAGCGACUACAGAUCCAGAAAGAGUAGACAUAGCUUUGUUCUCGAGGAGUUAUGGUUUUAAGGGGGCAAAACACCGUCAGAUGAAGCAAGUCUGCAUGUAAGGAGCACAGACGGAUGUACCACACAUCGAAUUCACAAAUGAAGACAUAAUUUUGAUUUCUUUUGAUUUUUAUUCCUAUUUUUUUUAGAAAUCAUUCAAAAUCAGCACAAGAUCAAAAAAUUGUUCAAAUAAUUGUUUGA